GCCUAUAAGCCUCUUCUACUAAUUGAGGAAAUUACAUGUUCAGGUUCCUUCGGAGUUGUAUGCUUUUUUUUAUAUAGCAGCAGUUGAUAAAGGAAAUAUCAUAAGCAUAAUAUAAGCGUUUGUUUUGAAAUUUCCAAACUAGAGAAAUUAAUGAAGAGUACUGGUGGAGAAAUAAUUCAAGUUCAAGGAGGAUAACAAUAAUGGUUUACAAAGACAAUUAAAAUGGUUAUCGCGACGGAAAAUUCAUAAUCUUCUUGUUACAAUUUGCAACAGAACUAUAAUCAUUCAGGUUUCAUUCAAUCAAGUAUUGACAAUGAUGCUUUCACGUUUUUCCAACGAGUUUUGUUGGCAAUUCGAUGAAUUUUCAAAGCCACUCUUCUUGUGAUCUCAAGAACAAACAGCUCGACACAGGAUCUUAGUUUUUCUCUUCAUUCAUUCCAAGACAAUUCAGCAGUUGCAAGUGGGAGCUUUCAUGCUAAUUUUGUCCAUGUGUGUGUGACCUGCAAAGGACCAACCGAAGAUGUAAAUCUAUCAUGCAUAUGACAGCUCAAUAGAAUAUGCCAUGUUCUAAGAAUUUUGCACAACGUCAAAUGCAGUGUUUCUGCAUAAACUCACCGACUCUGCAAUGCACAUGAAGGGUAAUUAGAGACCAAGAAGUUACCGCUUCCAUCACUUGGACCUCCUGCAAUGCAAACUCACUUGGGUAAAGAGUAUACCACCCGUAACUUGAACAAAUGCCUGCAAAAAGUGUCCAUCAGCUCAAAGUUCAACAAGUUAACAGCAAAAUAAAUGGUUUGAAGAAAGUCAGCUCGUCAAUGUUGAUUCCUCUGCUCAAUGGCCGGUAUCAAUUGAUGCACAAGAAUCCUGCUCAAAUGCAGUACUUUUAGGUUUUGGCAUUGUUGAGAAAUGCACUAAGCAUGAUACAGUUUCAAACCUCCUAAAAUCAGGAACUGCUGAGCCAAGUACAGAUGGUGCAAAUAUAUCCUUGUUAUUAGACUUGAUGAAGUUGCAGUUGUCAGCCAUUAAUGAACCUCAACAAUCAUUCUCAUCAGACUCGUCAUCUCUUUUAUACCCUAACGACAAAUUCAACAUCAAGAAGCCUUUGCUGUAUUUUCUUCAAGAUUCCACACUUACUUCAAAGGCUACAGUUCAUCUUGAUGGC
RNAcentral lists this long non-coding RNA (1162 nucleotides) under Lathyrus oleraceus (garden pea). Its description in RNAcentral is "Pisum sativum (pea) long non-coding RNA (PSAT_LNC003312)". Lineage: Eukaryota; Viridiplantae; Streptophyta; Magnoliopsida; Fabales; Fabaceae. The record is from RNAcentral.